GACGAACGCUGGCGGCGUGCUUAACACAUGCAAGUCGAACGGUGAAGCGCCUUCCUUUUUGGUGGGUGUGGAUGAGUGGCGAACGGGUGAGUAACACGUGAGUAACCUGCCCCCUUCUUCUGGAUAACCGCAUGAAAGUGUGGCUAAUACGGGAUAUUCUGGGUCUGUCGCAUGAUGGGUCUGGGAAAGAUAUUGUUUCGGUGGGGGAUGGGCUCGCGGCCUAUCAGCUUGUUGGUGGGGUGAUGGCCUACCAAGGCGGUGACGGGUAGCCGGCCUGGGAGGGUGGACGGUCACACUGGGGCUGAGACACGGCCCAGACUGCUACGGGAGGCAGCAGUGGGGAAUAUUGCACAAUGGGCGCAAGCCUGAUGCAGCGACGCCGCGUGAGGGAUGGAGGCCUUCGGGUUGUGAACCUCUUUCGCCAGUGAAGCAGGCCUGCCUCGUUUGUGGGUGGGUUGACGGUAGCUGGAUAAGAAGCGCCGGCUAACUACGUG
RNAcentral lists this ribosomal RNA (494 nucleotides) under uncultured bacterium. RNAcentral's name for it is "partial 16S ribosomal RNA". It matches the Rfam family "Bacterial small subunit ribosomal RNA", at positions 28 to 507 of the family's 1533-position model. The record is from RNAcentral.